Molecule: long non-coding RNA, 14168 nt
Organism: Mus musculus (house mouse)
Lineage: Eukaryota; Metazoa; Chordata; Mammalia; Rodentia; Muridae
Product: predicted gene, 35562
Exons: 4
Source: RefSeq, a predicted model, not a curated record
CACACACACACACACAAGUAAGAAUAAAAAUAAAACUAAGGUAGAAAAGUAAAGGACAACAUUUGGAUGUCAACUUCUGAUUAUUACAUGUGCAUACAUGGGCAAGGCAAUACACAAGCACAUAUGCAUGUGUCACACACAAAGACAAAUAUCCACACAUGAGAAUAGGCAUGCAUGCAUUGGAAUAAUGGACUGCACAAACAUGGAUAUUUAGUUUUAGCAACAGAGGAUGGAUACGAAUAUUCUUUAAGGUUUUUAUUUUUCUUAUUUUUAAUUGUAUGUAUAUGUUCAUGUCAGUACAGGUGCCCUCAGAAAUGAGAGAUACCCGAUUUCUCUGGAUCCGGUGCUAUAGGCUCAUGUGUGUGCUAAGAACUAAACUCAGGUCCUCUGCAAGUACAGUCAGGGCUCUUAGCUGCUGAGCCAUCUCUCCAGCUCUACGAAUAAUAUGUUUAACCUGUUACCAUCUGACACCCGGAUUUAUUUAACUUGGUGAAAGCUAUAAUUAGCCAAAGUUCAACCCUGGUUCUGUUUUAUGUUCGCCAAAGUUGCUCUUUUCAUCUUUUUUUGUGGAGAAAAAAUCUCUCAGCUGGAAGAGAGGGCUUCUCUUCCCACUGUUGUUUGGCUUCCUGUCUUAAUUACAAAGCGAGAUGGCCUGCUCCUGCCAUUUGAGCUUACUUUACCCACCAGCUUUCCCUCAGUACUACUGUCAAUAUGCUCUCCAUGGUUCAUCUUCUUUGUCAACUUAAUGGGAUGGAGAGUCACCAUGGGAACACACUUCUGAGUGUAUUCAUGUGGGUGGCUCUCAAAAACAAAAAAACAAAAAACAACCCUGUUUAAUGGAGAAGCCCCAUUAUAACUGUGGGUAGCAACAUCCCAUAGGCUGAGACCCUGGACUGAUAAUUAAAAAAGAGAAAGCAUAAAGCCAGGCGUUGGUGGUGCACACCUUUAAUCCCAGCACUCAGGAGGCAGAGGCAGGUGGAUUUCUGAGUUCGAGGCCAACCUGAUCUACAGAGUGAGUUCCAGGAGAGCCAGGGCUACAGAGAAACCCUGUCUCGAAAAAAAGAGAGAGAGAGAGAGAGAGAGAGAGAGAGAGAGAGAGAGAGAGAGAGAGAGAGAGAGAGAGAGACUGCUGAGUACCAGCACUCACUCCUCUGAGCUCCCUGAUGGGUGUAAUGUGACCAGUGACCUUCUGCUCCAAUCAUGUGCCUUCUCAACUACGAGAAGCUGCACUCUCAAGCUGUGAGCCAUGACAAACCCUUCUUUCCUUCCAUGAGUUGCUUUUGUUACUUCUUUUGCCACAGCAAUGAGAAGAGUAACUAAUAAUGGAGACACUUUGGAAGGCAGAUAGGAGAUUUUGAGGCUGCAGUAAUUCCCUGAGAUCUAUGUCCCCACCACUAUCUUUACCAUGGCUCAGCACUUGUCCCCCCAGCAGGAACACAGUUCAACUCCCACUGCUACCUCUGUCUAUGCAGCUGUUCCUUACCUGCUCCUACCUCUGUCUUGCUGCUCUGCUGCUUACCACAGGCUUCUGCUCUUCCCCUGCCCCCUUCGCCAUGUGACUACCUAGCUGCUCAUUCGGAUUUGAAUUGCAUGCUGCUCACCCUUCCCAAUAGAGCUAGUGACCUGGAUUCAGAAUUGAUUUCUUUUAAAGUAGUUUUUCUUUUCUAAUUUGAAAGUUAUAAUCAGUUAUUAUUGUGUCUGUAUGUUUGUGUGUGUGUGUGUGUGUACUUUGUGGGUAGGCAUAUGUAUCACAGUUCAUAUGUACAAGUGAGGAAAAUUGGUCAGAAGUUGGUUCACUCUUUCAAUCACCUGGGCCCGAGGGAAUCAAACUUGGUGGUGGUAAAUACCCUUACCACCAGCAUUUUUACUGGCCUCUCUUGACUGCUGGUUUCAUCCACUAUAGUGUUGUAAAUGGACUUGCAUUCCCUUCAGAGAGCAGACCCAACCUCCCAGUUCUAGCCUCGCUUCUAGGGUCCCAUUUCUAUCCCUCUUAGUGAGUCCUUCACUGAGGCUAUACAGUGUUUCCUACCCUCUAAUCCCACAUAGCAGGGGCAAGCCUGGUGAGAGGUCUUAGGACAUUCUCCAAGGAUCUUUUGAUAGUGCCAGCAUCCCAAAGUAUCCCAUCGCCUGUGUGAGAUGGAAAAUAUCUGUGUGCUCUAUUUAAGGGGAAGUGUUUCCAAUAUGGCUAUGCAUCGGAUACAACUUGAUAGAGACACUUUGUUCCGUCUGUAGGGUAAUAGAGCAAUUUUCAUAGUUAUGUGUAAGAAUUGCUCAAAGUAAGCUCAAUAAAAUUACCCCAAAUAGCUUAGCCUGAGGAGUAUAAUUUCUGUAUGGAAGCUUUACUUACUAAACAACCUUCCCCUAUUAAACACACACACACACACACACACACACACACACACACACACACACACACACACACUGAACAAAAACAAAGGCCCUCACACUCUUGACUCUCAGACAUAUUUUUGCCCUUCUCAGAAAUAUGAUUUCCACCAGCUAUUCUAAAUUCCAUAAAGAGUGAUUACAGCAUAUUCUUGGGUUAGCAUUUCAUGGGUUUUGGUUCUAAUACAUUAAGAAUUUAUUAUAAAACUGAAUAUUGCAUAACUUUGUGUUAUAUAAUGGAGUAUUAUAUGGUCAUUUCUUAGAUUCACAAGAAUUUGAGCCCAGGACAGAAAAAUCAUUUUUGCUAAAAGUUGAUGUUUAAUUAAUUAUGCCUUUCUUUCCAUUUUGGGAUAUAGAGAUAAAAACACAUUAUCUGACCUUGCCAUCUUGCUGACAGAUGCAGAGGGAAUGUCUUUCAAAUGUUCUUUGGAAAGGCAUUUAACGAAUAUACCCAUCAUGGUGUGAUCUCACUUGAAUCUAAUUUUUAUCAGUAUUUCUUAAGGUCUAUCACAAUAACUCUUGUUUCAACAACUCCUUUCCCUAACAACAUUUCUUCCUCUGCAUGUCUAUCAUCAGCGAGGUCUCUGUCUCGCUUUGGACGGCACCUUGGCUCAUGCCAUUAUUUUUCCCUUCCUUUCUACUUCUUUGGGAUUCCCAUUAUAAAAUGCUUUUGAAUACAAUUAUUCCACAGCUAUAGUCGAAAGCUUCUUCAAGGUUCUCCACUACUAUAACAGCAUGAUUAUCUAGAGGCUGCCUAAGAGUGGAGCCUUCAGUGGCUACAAAGAUUCUCUGAGGUCAGCAUAGGUGGGAAGGAUGAGAACAGUCAAAGGAUUUCCCUUUGGGAAUGUCUGCUCAUCAGUGCAUCAGGAAACAUUUAGGAAGCCUCCACUGUGCACGGAAUCCUGAUGAUAAGCUAUAGGAGGUGAACAGAAGGUCAUUAGUUCAAUCUAUGAGAUCAAUGAAAUACCCAAAAUGCACAGAUGAGGAAAAGAAUUCUAAAGAAUUCUAAAGGCAUCACAAACAAAAGAGGUUAUAGCAGGAGGGCCAGGCUGAGGCCUGGUGGAUACAAUGUUUACUUAGCAUGCAGGAAGCCCAGUGUAGGACCCUGGCAUGCAGGGUUUAUACCUGUCAUCCCACCACUUGGGAGGUGGAGGCAGGGGAACCAAAACUUAAAGUCAUUCUCAGCUACAUAGAAUGUUGGAGGCCAAUCUGAGCUAUAGGAUGUUAUAUCUCCCAAAGAAAUAGUGGUAGGGUAGUAUUGGGGGAAGUGACAGGGACUGGGUGGGGAGGGGUGCUUGCAGUGUGUUAGCAGCACAGGCUAGCCUGUGACAGGAAACAGUCGAUAUAGCAACUUGAUGCAGGAGGGAGAGACUGUGCUCUCACAGCCAAUCUCCAUAUCUCCUUGUCAGGGCUUUUCACACAGUAUAACCUCACAGUGAAACAUGAUGGUGAUUGGGCCUUCCAUGGGGCAGGUAGAUCAGACCUGUGGGCAGAUCAGCAGCCAGGUCCUGAAGGUGGCUCAGGCUUGCUCUGGGUCUUCCCUAAGUGUCCCUUUUGUCUUUGGCUGUGAAGCAGAUCAGAGGGAGGAAGCGACUCAGUGCAGCCUGAACGUAUUCUGAGAUCUAAGAGAUACAGAAAUGCCUCAAAUUUCCAUUUUUAUCACUAAUUACUUUAACAGGUUCUUUAAUAAGUGCCUUCCAAUUGCCCCUGCUGUUCCAUAAAAUUAUCUACACUGCUUUUUUUUUUUUUUUUGCAUUUUAAUCAUGUUUUAGUUUUCAAAAGUUAGAACUCUCCAGAAGCUUUGUGCUCUUUAUAUUCAGGGGGGUGGAUUUCUCUUCUGAUUUUACUAAGCUCCGCAGAUUAGGAGGGGGAAAAAAGACCAAUGUUUUUCUUUUUCCUUUUUUUUUUUAAGACCUAAUGGAAACCACACUGGUAGUCCCUGGAGUUUAAUGUACCAUUUAUUAGGAAGAAAUAAGCUACCUUCUGCUCUGAGGAGGAAAGAUACAUGCACUGUAUGAAGUCGUUUGCCUGAAUUUACCUUAUAGAGGGCCAUGUUACUAUGCUGAGUAAGUCGUUAUCCUCGUUUUUAAGGAACAGGACACUGAGAUGGUAAAUGGCAAGGAAGUUGUCCACAGUCACAGGACUGUGUCUAUCCCAGGGAGAAUGCAUCUGGGGCUUUCUCUGGGGUCGGUUUCCUGUCUCAGACUAAACACUUCUCUAAUACUCAGCUUCGCCUCUCCCAUGGCAAGAGGGUAUUAAUGACCCCAUUGGGAUCUCUUACAAAGCAAGUCUCAUAUCAUAAGAGUUGCUUAUUUCAGCCUAAAAUGCCAAGCUUAUGUUUCGGUUCCAUUCCCAUUGGAUGAAUUAUGUUGUCAUGGUGAUUUUUUUUUCCUAAAUGAUUUAAACUUAUUUUCAACCCCACCUUUUGGGUGAAGAAACCAAUCCAACAGUUAAAAUGGCUUGCUGAAUGAAGGUCUCAUAACUAGUACUUGAAGCCCAGAAAGCCUGAUUACAGAGUUCAUGCUUGUAAUUUUACUCAAUUAAAUUCACUUAAUGAUGGUUUGUCAAGGACAAUUUACUAAAAUAACAAUAUAAAUUAAUUAGACAACGAAAUGGACUGCAUAGAAUUAAGGAAAUAUCUUCAAAUGCAAUAUAUCUUUGCUGUCUGGAUUCAAGCACAAGCCAUCCACUUAAUAAAAAAUAUUUUACUAGCAUUAGUGUUAUAUUAUGAUUGUCUAACAAUGGUUUAUGUGCAUUUAUCAAUUAUGUCUAAUGUGAUUUUGUCAUUUGCGUACAUGUAUAUGUAAUGCAUUUGACCUUAUUCAUUCCAUUAUCACCUUCUCUUGUUCCCUCCCACUCCUGCUAAUCAAUUUCCUCUUCCCAAAGAGUCAUAGAACUUCCACGUCUCACUGUGUAACUCAAUGAGUUUCAUUAUUGUUUCUUACAGAGGUAUGGGCAAGUGGUUAUUUACAGAAACAGAGGCAAUUUACCAGUACCCACAGCACGGAAGGAAAUGCCCCCCCCCCCAUAGUAACUAUACACCAUGAUUGGUUUUACUGGCUAUUAGUUCUUUCUUAAGUUUCUUCCUUUUUUCUUCUCAAGGAAACACAAUUCUGUUCAUGCAUGUGGACAUAACUGGAACACAGAACUAAGCUGAACUGCAGCAACCUCUUAAAGAGAGUGCUCCCUGAAUCCUAGGUCCUGAGUCCUGGGAUCAGAGGCAAAUGUGUGCCACCACAUCCAGUUCAGCAGUCCUGGUGACUGAAGCUGAGGCUUUGUACAUGCUAGCAAUGGGCCCGACUGUAACCAGGAGACAGUUUUGCAUCUGAGACACCGGCAUGCAGAACACCUCUUUAUUCUGCCUUCCUCAUUUUAUGGCAAGUUCUAUUGCAACCAUAAUGGUAACGGCCCUCUGCACGCAUCUCAUUAUGAGCUUUCUACAUUAAUCCAAGGAUCUCCAUGACUGCUUUGCCUGGCGUCAAACAGCACACAGUGAAAUAUGAAGAAAACUUAUCAGAAAACAUCUGUAUGCAUUUCAUCUCGGAGAACACACACUGGGGUCUACUUUGCAAUUCUGAUUAUCUUCACAACAUAAAUACACACCUAUUGUGCAAUCUGAUCCCAGUGACACGAUCUUUAUCCGCCUUUCCUGGAUGUUUAGCUGUUCCCAGAGGGGGAAACAAUCAGAAGAUUGAAGCACAGGCUGAAAACCAUUCUCUCUUUCAGAAGAACUUGCGAUUUGAAUUUACAGAGGUCACAGUUCAUUCCUGAAGGAAGCCAAGGCGGGGAAUAAAGGCUGGAAUCUUCAGACAGGCCUACUUGCUACUCUACACAGAAUUACUUCUGAUUGAGGAACUCACUUCACACUCCAAAAAUAUGGCAGGAACCAGGGAAGACACUACCUACUGGCCAGCAGGCAAGCAGGCAAGCAGGCAAGCAGGCUAAUGCUCAGUUAGCUUUCUUAUAGAGUUAGGAUCACCUGCCUGGGGGAUGGUGCUACCCAGAGUGGGCUGGGUCUUUCUAUAUCAAUUAACAAUCAAGACAACCCCCCCCCCCAAACUAGACAUGACCACAGGCAAAGAUGAUUCUAAACAAUUCCUAAUUGAGUUUAUCUCCCUGGAUAACUGCUCUUUAUGUCAAAUUGACAGUUAAAGCUAACCAGGAUACUACCCUGUGACACAGCACAGAAAGUAGACACUGGCAAUCUAGACCAGACCUUGGUCACCACUCUGUUCCGAAUACCUUCUGUGACCUUGCAUGAGACAAGUAUUGAUGUAAGUGUUCAUAACACUGGGUGGAGUAGACUGUUUGAUCUUGAAAGCUGAAAUAUAAUAUCCUCUGAUUGUAUUAUUCCUGAGCAUAAGCACAUUUAAAGGGCAAGUAUUUUGAUCAUGUUACAAGAUUAUUAGAUUCCCAUCCUUAUUUGGGGACCCAUCUAUUAUGUCCACAGUGCUGUUGUCUGCAACAGAUUAUUAGGACACCAAACCGAAUAUAUUUAAUUCAAUUUGUCCAAAGUGUAAGCAUAUUGGCAAGCACAAACAGACCCUUAAAUGGCUUUUAAUUGGUUGAUUUGCUGAAAGCUAUUGCAAUAUGCACUCUUCUACAGGCCUUGGAAAAGGGAUAAAGGUGAACAUUAGAAAUGAUGGUCUAGCAGGCAGGAGGCUCUUUAGGCAGAAAACAAUGAAUGCGAAGUAGAUUGGCAAAGGUGAAGGAGCUAUCUCUCUGGGCCACCGCCUCCCACUUCAGUGAAACUCGGAAGUAAGGAUCCAGGGAAGUAAGUUCUGUUUACUAACAUGGGGUAGAAUGACCUCAACAAGUAAUUACCAUAAUUGAAUACAUAAUACAUAAAUUAACAUAGAAUUCACAUUUGUGUAUAAGUGCACGUAUGUUUGGGCAUGUUGGUAUGGAUAUACAUGAAUAUGUUUCAUUUCCAUUCAUUUCUGUUUCUGUGACAAAUACCCAGUCCAAAAAAUAAAAAACAAAAACAAAAAAACAAAAAACAAAAACAAAAACAAAAAAACUUUUGGGUAGAAAGGGUUUAUUGGUCUUAUAAUUCCGGCUCCUGGCUCAUUACUGAAAGCAGUCAAAGCAGGAACUAAAAUCCGGGAAUUUUCAGACAGAGUUACUUGCUAUUCCACACAGAAUUACCUCUGAAUGAGAAGUGUGUGUGUGUGUACCAGAAUACAACCUUAAGUGUCAUUUCUCAGUUUUCAUAUACCUUGUGGUUGGUUUGCUUUGUUUAUUUGUAUUGUUCUGUUGUUUUGUUUUGUUUUUUUCCCAAACAGCAUCUGUCACUGGCCUGGAACUCAAGUAGGCUAGGUUAGCUAGCCACUGAACCCCAGGAAUCCUCCAUCUUUCCUGUAGUAGGAUUACAAGUGUGUACUACCACCCCUGCCUUCUUUCGUGUGAGUUCUGGGGCUCGAAUUCCUGUCUUUUUUUGAAGCAAGUGUUUUACCAUUGGAGAUAUCCCUCUAGCCCACAGACAUUACUGAUGCAACCGCCAAGUAUUUCUUUUGAAAAUUCCAAGACUGAUUCUUAUUCUACAUGAUUUCAGGAAAACACAGUGAAGCCUCGUCCAGUCCAUGCCAGUCAGACAACCACACAGGCUGCUUUGCUAAAGGCACCCUUCAUGCACUCUCCAGCUCUGCCCAUUUUGCAAAGCAUUAUAGGUAAGUAAAUUACUGGUUCUUCUGUUUUACCACCUGUAAGGGAGGACUGGACAAAGACGAGUGUAACAGUAUAUGGUUGAAAGUAAGACUGCUAUAGGAUCACAGACGACAUUGUUUCCGGUCAAUAGCAAUCACAGGGCCUGUGACACUCGGAAAUAACCUUUCCAGUGAGACUUCAUGCAGCAGAGUGGCUUUUCAGUGUUUUUCUGAAAGACUUACAGAUGUGCCUGCUUUUUUUUUUUUUUGUGGUGUGUGUGUGUAUGUGUGUGUGUGUGUGUGUGUGUGUGUGUGCGUGUGCACAUGCACACGUGCAUGCACCAGAGGACCAUCCCAAAUAUCAUUUCUCAGGGGCCCUCCAUGUAUUUUUGAUAUAGGGUCACUCACUGGUCUGGAGCUCAAAAAUCAGGCUCAGCUGACUGGCCAGUGAGUCCCAGGAAUUCGCCUGUCUCUCCUGGGAUCACAGAGACACAUAAACGCACAGACCUGGCUUUUGAAAUGUGUGCUCUGGGGAUAGAGCUGAGGUCCUCAUUAGUGCAAGGCAGGUACUUCGCUGACGGCACCAUCUCCACCAUACUUAACUAUUUUAAUUUUUCAUUUGCAGACAUUAGGCCAAGAGUGAUGCUUAGUGAGUGACCUAUGUAAGGAAUGGAUCGGUGCUUUAAAGACAGCACAGUCAGCUGAAAUGUAACCAUAGGAAAACAACUAGUAAUGAGAGACAUGUCUCCUGUACCACAUAGGGGAUUCAAUACCUCAUCUACCCACGGACUGCUACCAAGUUUGGAGAAUUUGACCUGGGCCUCCAAGUGGUAGUGGGGAGUGGGGAAUAUUUGUGCUCUUGAGGCCAGUUUGAAUUGUAAGAGGCCAUUAAAAAGAAAACACCCAACAUCUCCUUCCCUACUGAGAACACUGGCCUACCCGUUAAGGUUUAGGUUCCUUAGCCUUUUGGUGCAGGAAUCAGUCUCCCUGGUGAGGCAUCCACUGAUGGCAACAGGCCUCUCUGAGAGGCAUAAUCAGAUCCUCGGGAAAACACGGCCAGUUUGCCUACCCAGGUACUUUCUGUCUCUUGUAUUUCCAAGUCCUUACAUUUAUCCAAAAUUCAUGAGAAUGGAAGGCUCAGUAACAAAUUUUUACUGGUGGGAAAUUUUAAGGUUUCUAUGAUAAACAUUUACUGCAUGAAGUUUACUAAAUCCGGUAAAAUCAGGUUUUCUUAUGUGGAUAUGAAAAAAAAAUAAUGCCUGAAUGUUGUUUGCUACAAGGUGCAUAUUUUAAAUUUAAAUUUUAGCCACUUAGUUUAUUAAAAUAUAGUGCUGAUUUGUGUAACAGAUUUGAAUUUUCAUUUAAUAUUAAAAACCCUGACACUAAUUUGGACACAGCACCCUUCCAUUUUUUCAAGUUUUAAAUUCAGCCUAACUGGAUUCUUCCUUAGAUAAAGAGCCACAAGGACUCAUUCUUGAAGGUCACGGGGAUAGAGAAUGAAGCUAACACAGUCGUCCUCCAGGGACCUGUUUUUCUGCGGCACUCUAUGAGAAAAUUUGAUACUGUUGGAAGGUCUUGGGAAAACCAGAUAAAACAGAAUCAAGAUAAAACAUCUUUCGAAUAGCGCGGAUAUGAUUAAAGUCAGGAUCUGGGAUCUGUGUGAAUAUAAAUCCCAGUGUUAUGAUUAGCAGGCCGGGGAGAUGGCUCAGUGGAUAAAGGGCCUACCAUACAUGUGUGAGGACAGGAAUUCAGAUUCCCAGAGCCCUUACAAAAGUCCAGCAGACUUGGGGCUCACCUCUAAUCCCAGGGCACGGAGGCUCUGACAUGAACUGCUCAUGAGCAAGCUGGCAAAUCACUGAGCUCUGGUUUAGACUGAGAGAUCAUGCCUCAAUGAAUACGGUGUGGCCCAAUUAAGGAAGACUCCCAAAAUCAACCUCUGUCUUCUAUAAACAUAUGCACACAUGUGUACCUCUCACAUGCCACACAGACACAAGGUAAGAGACUGACACUAAAUUUACAGCAUUGCAUUGCAGAACCCAAUGCACUCUUUUACAAAAAGAUUUACUUUAUUUUCAGUGUCUGUCUCUCUCUCUCUGAGGUAUAUGAGCAUAUGAGAAAGGGUGUCCAUGAGGUCAAUGUCUUUGGAUCCUGAGUGAUCCUGAGUGGCUGUAAGUCAUCUGACAUGAGCUCUAGGAACCGAACUCAAACUUUUAAGUUCAGUUUGCUAUCACUUCCUGGAAGGCUUUUUGUACUAUCCCAGUGUGGUGGUUUGAAUAAGAACGGCCCUGCAGGCUCAUCUGUUUAAAUGUUUAGUCAUGAGAGAGUGGUACUACUUGGUUUCUAGGAAGCCUGGUCUUAUUGGAGGAAGUGUGUCACUGGGGAUGGGCUUUAAGGUCUCAAAUGCUCAAGGCAGGCCCAAGGUUCGCUCCCUCUUCCUGCUUGCUGCUAAUAGAACUCUGUUACUUCUCCAGCAUCAUGUCUGCCUGCGUUCCCACCUGCAGACGUCUUCCAUGGUGAUAAUGGACUAAAAUUCCGACCUGUUAGCCAUCCUCAAUCAAAUGCUUCCAUUCAUAAGAGUUGCAGUGGUUAUGGUGACUCUUCGCAGCAACUGAAGCCCUAAGACACCCAGGUAUCCCUUUCUGCUCUGAGGACCUAUGAUGGUAAAUGUUUCUCUUAUCUUCUCUACUUACUAGAAUGAGACAGUGUCAACUCUCAGCGUGGCCCAAUUUAGAAACACCUGGGAAGAAAGUCUCAAAGAUUGUCUAGCUCAUCGUAGACUGUGGGGAUUGCCUGGGAUCGCUAACCUAUAAGGAGGUCUCAGCCCACUGUGAGCAGCACUAUUCCCUAUGUUUGGCUACUGAAUUGUGUAACAGUGGAGAAAGUGAAGUGAGUAUAAUCAUGCAUGCACUCACACUCUUGAUUGAGGAUGUGACAAGGUGUCUCAAGUUCCUGUCUUGGUUUUCCUGAAAGGAGGAACUGUAACCCAAAAUUGUGAGCUCAAAUAAACCCUGUUUCUCCUCUUACACCAAGUUGCUUUUAUUACACAAAGUCAGGUGAACUAAAACAAUAGCCUCUGUAUUCAUCUCCCCCCUUGCUAAAUAAUGAGCUCUUUAUAUCUAACUCUGUUAAAGAUCUCUGUGCCUUCAGGCGUACCUUAUAGUACCACAUAUACAUCAUAAGUAAGUUUUCUUUGGUAGGCAUCUAUGUAUGUGUAUGUGCACAUGAGUGUGAAGGCCAGAGGUCAGCUUUGGCUAUUGUUCCUAGGUACUGUUUGCCUUUUUUCUGAUACAUGGUUUCUGGAUGGUUACAAAAGCUACCAAUUCAACUAGGCUUGCUGGCCAGCGAACCCCAGGGAUCCACUUGCCUCUGUCUCCCCAGAGCUGAGAUCCCAAGUGUGCAUCACUACAUUCAACACUUUAACGUGAAUCCUGGGAUUCAAGCUCAGGCCCUCACGUUUGCAAGGCAAGCAUUUACACACUGAGCUAUAUUGCCAGCCCCUUGGUGACUUUUGGUUAACAUAAUGAAGCCAUACACGCUAGCUGAACUGUGAUUAUGCCUGGAAAGCCUUGGCAGGCAUUCUGAGCACACGCAUCAUGCUUUUAAUGAAAAAAAAAAAAAAAACCCUCUAUUGCAAGGGCAGACAGUGACAAGCAGGUCAUAGGGCAGCUGACCCCCCUCCCCCCGCAGAAGACUGGGCAAUCCAUAAUGUUGCAGGGCAAUUAAAUUGGGAGAAUGGCCAAGAUUAGAAACCAGAGCUGAUGUUCUUAAAGCCUUGUAUGGCCAACUCCUUUAAACUGUAAAGCAUUAGUGACACCUGUCCACCAUCUCCACAGGAGACCCUUGGGCCCAAGUCCAUUACUCCAUUUCCUUGAUUCCUCCCACGGCCCAGCAUGCAGAGUCACCUGAGUAAAGGGCAUCAGAAUGUUUCACCUUUCCUGGGGAGAUGAUGGUUCAUAUGGCGCAAGCUAUGCUUUUGGAAGGAACUUGUCCAUAUUUGGCUGUUGUCUAGGUUUAAGAGGCUAUGAAGAACAGGAAAGUGGGUGCCUUCUAUUUAUACCUUAAAAUCUAAAGGAAAAGUACUGGGUGGGGUAGAUUCAAACUUGCACCGAGGAAGAAGCAAGGCAGCACGUGACGCUGUGGCUGAAGACGUUCCCCCAAAGAAAGCACUCCCCACAGCUACAGACAGGGAUUCAGUGAGUCUGAGAUUGAGGCCCCAUGCCAGGUUAUACGGGCACCAGGCAGAAAGAUGGCAAAAGAAAACACUGUGAAACAGAACAAACAAUAGCAAGAUCAACAAAACAGAACUUUAAGAGGAGAAAAAUUUCCCCUAAUCAUACUGACUUCGUGGAAGUGUGAAAUUUAGAUGUUUAUCUUCUCAUCCGCCAGAUACGGAACCCUGUUUGUACAUGUGUAUACAUAUUCAUGAGUGCAGGUGUACGUGUGCAGAGGGGGUUCAUGUUCACAUGUCCAAGUGCUUGUGAUGUUUCACGGGUAUGUGUAGGAACAUGUGUAUGUGAGUGCGCAUGUGAAGUUCCACGUGAGUCAGGGAUUAUGUGUGUGUGGGGGGAGGGGGCUAUGUCUGUGUGUGGGAUACAUGUGAAGGAACAUGUGUAUGCAUAGAUGCAUGUGUGUGCAUAUGCACAUAUGAAGCAGAAUGUGUAUACAUAGAUGCAUGUGUGUGCAUAUGCACAUAUGUAGCUGUAUAUGUGGAAGCCAGGGGUUAACUUCAGUUCUUAUUCCUCAGGAUACCAUUGGGUUUUUUUUGUUUGUUUGUUUUGUUUUUUGUUUUUUGGCUUUUUUGAGAAAGGAUCUCUCACUGAAGCAAAUAGGCUAACCUAGCUAACCAGCAAUCCUUAAAGGGAAAACCCUUUUUCUGCCUUCGUAGUACUGGAGUUAUAAGCAAGUCACCACACAACAUUUUUACAUGGAUUCUGAGAUUUGAACUCAGGAUCCAUUCCUUGCUUGCAUGGCAAACACUUUUCCAAUUGAGCCUCCUCCCCAGCACACAGGCAUAGUCCUCCCCAGCACACAGGCAUAGUCCUCCCCAGCACACAGGCAUAGUCCUCCCCAGUACACAGGCAUAGUCCUCCCCAGCACACAGGCAUAGUCCUCCCCAGCACACAGGCAUAGUCCUCCCCAGCACACAGGCAUAGUCCUCCCCAGCACACAGGCAUAGUCCUCCCCAGCACACAGGCAUAGUCCUCCCCAGCACACAGGCAUAGUCCUCCCCAGCACACAGGCAUAGUCCCUUAAGGAUCUUCUGCAUCCCUACCCCGUGAUCUACGCUGCAAUCACAUCAUCUCUGAAGCCAUCCCUGUCUACCUCCUCUCAGCAAGCAAUACACUCAUCCCACAGGUUCCCUGGGUCAUUAAUUCACCCAACAGCCAUCAAGGAUUACUUCUGUUUAUGCUAUAUGUGGGAGGACUGAAAAAUUUGUGUAGCAUGGGUCUUGGCCCUGAGAAAAUAUAAAGGCUCAGUCAAUUAAGCAGAGAGUCUAGGUCUCAGAAUAUCUGCACCUUCCACAGCAGCAAUGACCAUACUACUCCAACCACAGUAUUUCAUCCAUGCACAGGAUUGUGGAACAGAGCUAAGCACCCUCAUCAUUGCACAGCACCUGAGUCUCUGCACAGGCACAGCUAUUUAAAAAAAAAAAAAAAAAAAAAAAAAGGCCUCUCAUUUGCUUUAAGAAUAAAUAGUAGCUCUGCUGAGAUGGUUAAAGAGUGUGCCAUGCAAGCCUGAGAACUGGAACUCAGACCCUCAGAAACCCAUGUAAAUGCUGUUUGGCUCCUGUAAUUCCAGCCUCAGAAGGUAGUGAUAGGAGCUCUCCAGAGCAAACUGAUUGGCAACACUGUCCCGACACUCAAUCUCUAGAGAUGACUGAAAGUCUGCCUCGAUGACUAAGGUGAAGGAGCAAUUGAAGAUGAAGAUUUCUGACCUCAACCUUGGGGCCACACAUGUUCACAAACAUAUGCACAUAUAUCUGUGUGUGUGAAUGUGUGCAAUAUGGGCAGCAGUCUAGAAAACAUUUUGUAGCAUAUUUAGAAAUAUUAUUCAACAAAGGCUGGGAUUUAGAAGAGAAGAAUGUGGACAUCAACAUCGAUAGAGAAGUGAAAAGGAGCAGCUGACACACACACGCAC